AGAAGAAGAAGAUGGAGAUUAGUUGGCAAACGUCAUCAAAUCGACCUGAGAAUCAAGACUAUAUUUCGAGAUGGGAGUUGCCAUGUUAAAAGCCGCUGGGCUGGAAAAAACAUUCGUUGAUUUGUUCACUGAAGAGUUCAAAGGAUGACCUUAUGAGUAUUAUGCAUGUGGGCCUUAAUCGCUCUGCUUGAUCCUUGAUUUAUUUUUGUGUUUCAGUGAAACGUGUCUUGAUGAACUCGAUCAUUGUUAUAUUCAUUGGUGUUAGUUCUGUCAAAUGUGGAAGGAUACAAGUUGAUGCUGUGAUGGUGACCGUUUCAGACAUGGUUAAAUCAUCACAAAAACUUAGCCAUUUCGUGCACAGGUGGGUGACUCUUCCUUGAAGGGAAAGGCUGCUUGUGCAAAGUUUACCAGGAUUAGUACAAAUGGAACUCAUAGUAUUGUCUUGUGCAAACCAAUCACUGGCUGGACUCAUCAAGUAAGAUAAUUUUCAGUGGACAGAUGCAUGUUAAUAUACAGUGCCAACACUUCAAGAGAGGCAUAAAAAAUCUGCUUGGUGUUCUAGUAUAGACAAAUGACUUCUAAGUUGUUGUUAUGAAAAGAUAAGUCAUAUAAUUAUGAAAGAUGAUUCACUUAAAUUUGAAUUCUUAGGUCAGGAUAAAGGCUUAUUUUUCCUAUUACAAACUCUCCUGAUGCAGAUAAAUGUGCAUUUGCAAUAUACUGGCCAUCCAAUUGUCAAUGACAUGCUUUACAUCUCUUAACAAGUUACUGAUCGUGCCACACAAGAAAUGAGUGCUGACAGAUCUGCUGCUUGUUCAGGCCAUUCUCUAACAUCCAAUACUCAUGAAAAUUACGUUGAUAGAGAUGAGAACUCUGUUGAAGAAUUCAGCAGCCAUUACUUUAAUACAGUUUUCAAAAAGGGUGAUAUGAUAUGAUAGAUUUUAUGGCCAUAAGAGACAUUGAAAACUGUAUUAAAGUUUAAAAUGAUAGUAUUAGGGUUUAGAAUAAAUUGGUAGAGAUAUGUAUAACAAAGAAGAAUGCAGAACCUUUUAGAUGACAAAAAUAUCUGGACCUAAUUUGGAUGUGGAUCUUCAUUCAGUUUCCCGUAAUGUCACUAAAAACUUACAGAAAACCUUGUGCUUUGUAACCAAGCCAUUCAUUCUAGAUUAGAGUUACUUUGGUAAAUGGUUAGCAGUUCUAUUUUGGUUUUAUAAAAGCAUGACAAUAAUUUUCUA
Molecule: RNA transcript, 1232 nt
Organism: Mangifera indica (mango)
Lineage: Eukaryota; Viridiplantae; Streptophyta; Magnoliopsida; Sapindales; Anacardiaceae
Exons: 5
Source: RefSeq, a predicted model, not a curated record